This 259-nucleotide unclassified non-coding RNA is filed under the name uncultured fungus. Its description in RNAcentral is "sequence contains ITS1, 5.8S rRNA gene". The stretch from base 211 to 259 matches the Rfam family "5.8S ribosomal RNA", at positions 1 to 49 of the family's 154-position model. Lineage: Eukaryota; Fungi. The record is from RNAcentral.
UCUCCGUUGGUGAACUAGCGGAGGGAUCAUUGCUGGAACAAACGCCCUCACGGGUGCUACACAGAAACCCUUUGUGAAUUAUACCUAAAACGUUGCCUCGGCAGUGGUGUCUCUUCCACGUCCGCGGGGAUGGGGGCAGCCUGCCGGUGGACCACACCAAAACUCUUGUUGUUACAGUGUCAUUCUGAAUUUAAAAACUUAAUCAGUUAAAACUUUCAACAACGGAUCUCUUGGUUCUGGCAUCGAUGAAGAACGCAGC